This 440-nucleotide ribosomal RNA is filed under the name uncultured bacterium. RNAcentral's name for it is "partial 16S ribosomal RNA". It matches the Rfam family "Bacterial small subunit ribosomal RNA", at positions 338 to 795 of the family's 1533-position model. The record is from RNAcentral.
CCUACGGGAGGCAGCAGUGGGGGAUAUUGCACAAUGGGGGGAACCCUGAUGCAGCGACGCCGCGUGUGGGAAGACGGUCCUCUGGAUUGUAAACCACUGUCCACAGGGACGAAAAUGACGGUACCUGGGGAGGAAGCUCCGGCUAACUACGUGCCAGCAGCCGCGGUCAUACGUAGGGGGCGAGCGGUGUCCGGAAUCACUGGGUGUAAAGGGAGCGUAGGCGGGGAUGCAAGUUGGGUGUCAAAACUACGGGCUCAAAUGGUAGUCGCACUCGAAACUGCAGCUCUUGAGUGAAGUAGAGGCAGGCGGAAUUCCUAGUGUAGCGGUGAAAUGCGUAGAUAUUAGGAGGAACACCAGUGGCGAAGGCGGCCUGCUGGGCUUUUACUGACGCUGAGGCUCGAAAGUGUGGGGAGCAAACAGGAUUAGAUACCCUUGUAGUC